Molecule: long non-coding RNA, 223 nt
Filed under: Olea europaea (common olive)
Lineage: Eukaryota; Viridiplantae; Streptophyta; Magnoliopsida; Lamiales; Oleaceae
Description: long non-coding RNA (OEUR_LNC005518)
Source: RNAcentral
UAGAUUCAAAUUGAACUUCGAUUAUUCGUUUGAGUUUUAGAUGAAUCGAGAUACCUAAGUUCAAAUGUUCAUCGGACCGAAUUGAUCGUUAAAGUUUCAUAAGCUCUGAUAUCAUAUUCAGCCCCUGUUUGAGCCAUCUUUUGAAGGAAAUUAGUAGAAAAAAUAUGACCGUUAUAGUUAAUUUUGGGGCCUACAUCAGAAACAUGAGGUCAAAAUAGGUGGG